RNAcentral lists this small nuclear RNA (82 nucleotides) under Myotis lucifugus (little brown bat). RNAcentral describes it as "U4 spliceosomal RNA". It matches the Rfam family "U4 spliceosomal RNA", at positions 1 to 82 of the family's 138-position model. From Rfam's summary of the family: U4 small nuclear RNA (U4 snRNA) is a component of the major U2-dependent spliceosome. Lineage: Eukaryota; Metazoa; Chordata; Mammalia; Chiroptera; Vespertilionidae. The record is from Rfam by way of RNAcentral.
AACUUUUCCCAGUGGCAGUAUUGUAGCUAAUGAGGUUUCUCCAAGGAGUGAUUAUUGCUAAUUGAAAAUAAAUUUUAGCUCU